This is a long non-coding RNA of Phacochoerus africanus (Common warthog), 1658 nucleotides long. RefSeq lists it as uncharacterized. NCBI's taxonomy places the organism in Eukaryota, Metazoa, Chordata, Mammalia, Artiodactyla, Suidae. The transcript has 3 exons. The record is from RefSeq and is a predicted model, not a curated record.
CAUGCCGUUCCAGACGCCGUCAAUCUUUUUGCCGUGCUUGCCAUUGGUGACCAGGUAGAGGUCAUAGCUGAAGCCGAUGGUCUGCGCCAGCCGCUUCAGAAUGUCGAUGCAGAAGCCCUUGCAGCACCGCUUUUCUGGGCGGGGAGCGUCCGGCGGAGGGCUACGGGGAGCGAGAAAGUUUGGGGACGUCGCCACCGCCCCCCAGCUCCGCCCCGCCUUACGGAGGGACAAGCAGCCGCCAAAACUAUGGUGAAUAUCGUUUUCCGGGGAAGCUGAGGCUCAAAGGGAUUCCGUGACUUGUCCAAGGUGACCAAGCUGGAGGGCUGUGGGGAUUCUGGGUCCCAAGGAAGGAGCGGACUGGGGUCAAGACUACUGGACUUCAGGGGAGGAUUCUGAAGCCAGAACUCCUGGAUCCAGGCUGUCACCUGUGGGUGCGGUUGAGCUGGCUCCGGCAGGGCACGGAGUCUCGGAUGCAAGUGCCACUGAUGGGGUCGGCAGGCUCCACGAUGACGAAGGGCCGCUCUUCCAGAGUGGCCACCGUGAGGUGCUGCGUGUCAUCUACCGGCUGCAGGAAGCGGCCGUAGCGGGACCACAGCGGGUACUUGAGGCGGAGAGUCUGUUGCUCCCAGCUGCCCACCUUGGCCAAGAGCAGGGCAUUCAGGUUUCCUGAGGGGGGUCUUUCCAGAAUGUUCUGGCCUUCAUGGCCCUCCUUCCGUGGAGUCCCGAACUCCCGGCUCCUUCUCCCUCAGGUCCAGGAGUCUGGACCCCAGAAGCCCUUUCCUCCUUCAUACCCAGGAUGCUGGGCUUUCUUCUACCAGGACCCAGGGAACUGGGUUCCCAGUGUUUUCCCGUAGGACCCAGAAGUCCAGGCUCCCAGCCCCUUCCUCCCUCAGAGGCCAGAGGGCAGGGCCUCAGCCUUGACCUCCGCCAGGACCCAGGAGUCCAGCCCCUCUCCCAGGCCUGAGGUCAGGGCGCGGACUCACCACCUCCCACGUCCUGUCUCGGGUGAGGGAGAUGACCACCAGGGACGGGUUCACCAGGAAGCCGUCCUCGUUGAAGGAGUAAUCCCGGUUAUCCCAGGACCCUGUGUUCUUUGAAGAGAAGUCCACAGCCUUAUUCAUCUCUUGUGUUCCCAGCGCCCAGCAUGAACCCUAGUUCCUAGCGGGGGCUCCACAGCAGCCAGAGCAAUCUCUUCAAAAAUACGAAUUGGAUCGCCUCCCUUCUUGGUUGAAGACCUUCCAAUAACUACCUCGGAGACAAAGCCAGAGUCCUCAUGGAGGCCCACAAGGCCCCGAAUGGCCUGACCCCCGUUGCCUCUCUAACCUCAUCUCCUGCCACUCCCAACUCUUUAUUCUUCCUCAAACACCUCAAGUUCCUUCCAGCUUCAGGGGCUUUGCCCUUCACUGUCGCCUUUCUUGGGGACACUGCCCGCCCCCAGCUCCCCCAGCUCCUCUGUAAGGAACUUAGGCCGUUUCUGUCCUCAGGCCCAGCUCAGUUUACUUCCUCAGGGAGACCUCCCCUGACUGCCAUCUAUUGAAGCUGCAUUCUUGGUCAUUACUCUCCUCCAGAACAGAUUACAUCCUCUGCUCAUUUGUUUUGUCUGUCUCCUCAUUAGAAAUGCAAGCUCCGUAAGAGCAGGGACCUUGUCUAUUUUUUUU